Long non-coding RNA from Sparus aurata (gilthead seabream), 1797 nucleotides. The record is from Ensembl. Lineage: Eukaryota; Metazoa; Chordata; Actinopteri; Spariformes; Sparidae.
UGAGGCACUUUCUUUAAAUUUGGCACAAAUGUCCACUGGGACUUUAAGAUUACCUGAUUAGAAUUUGGUUGUCAAAGGUCACGGUCACUGUGAUCUUACAAAAUAUGUUUGUUUUUUUUUUGUUUUUUUUUAAAUCAUUGGUGAAUGAGGAUGAAAUUGAUCAAAUAAUCCCAAACAAACAUGGGUUCAGUGUUGGAAGCGAUGUAGUUCUUUAUGACUGCUGCAUGGAAAAAAGACAAGAAUAUGCAAUCAAAGUUAGAAAAAUGUAUAUUUUGCAUGCAUGCACUCAACUGCUCCAAACUCUUGCUUCAGUGGGACAACAGCUGGUGCUAAACCACAUCAGCACGUCACUCCAGAAACCUCAACAGCAUAUCAAGGAGACCAGCUUGAGAUUAGGACAGCACAGCAGUCAGAGGGCCAAUCUGUUUUAACCACACUGUGAUAGGAUCAAAUACAUAGCACACUUGAGCAGUUAAACACGAGGCACCUUUCAGUUGGCCACCCCUCUAAAUGUUGUUGCAUUGUCAAAGGAUAUUUGUUUAGUAUUUUUGCUGACUCCCUCUUCAGCUGCAAUUGGUCAUAAAUAUUUAAUUCUUACAUUUAGUUCUUGCACAUUUUCAUCUCUCCUUUCCUUAGCAGCUAGCAAAUAUCCGCCAGGGUGUAACUCAUUGCUUAGUCUGCCUGUCAACACCCUUGUAACUGUGAUGCAUGGCUGCUCACUAUAAAACCUCGUUGUUACAUAUUCUAACAUGUGUUUUGACUAAUCCUCCAAAACAGCAUGCAAGUGACACAGAUGCUGACUUGUAUGUGUUAAGGUAAGCCUACUGAAGGAAGAUAACAACAUAAGAUAAUAACAGUAAUAAAAAAUACCAAACUUAGGUGUCUGAAAUAAUUGGGCACAGCUCAACAUUGAUUUUGAUACUAUAUGUUAUGGUGGUGUAAUUAUUCAGUGCAUCGCUUUUAAAAUGUGCCUUACUGUUCCAAUUAGAUCAAGCCUAAUUAAUAUAAAAAACACACAUGCAUUCUCACAUAAGAAUUUAUAUAAAAAUGGUGUAUUUCAGAGUGUUUCAUCAGCAGCAUACUUCCAAAAACGACAACAGUGCUUGGCAAUGUAACAAACCAAAUGUCGUAACAAAAACACAAGCUGUCACCUCAGCUAAACAACCGCAGCACUGUGUAUUGCAGCAGAUUUUAAACAAUACACAUAGCAAAUGAUACUAUUCACUAUGAAGAACAACAUGAUACAAUAUACAGAAGGGUUGUGCCCAUAAUUCAACACACUAAAUGUAAAUUCUGCUGGGAAAUAGCUGCAGGACAUUUCAAUUACAUGACCAGCAGGUAUAAAGAAGAGGGAGUGAGGUAUAGAUAACGCAAUCUUGUGAAGAGAAAGGCACUUCAUUAACCUGAAUGGUGUGGUUGGCCUGUGUGUACGCGUGUGUGUGAGAGAGACUUUCCCUUGGUAAUCACAUAGUCUCCAUUGUGUGUGUGUGGGUACAAGUGCACAUGGGCCACCCAGUUACACAAGGUCUUCAUUUGCAUGGCAACAUUAAACAUUUCAUAAAACAUGCAAAUAGUAUUCCAAAAUUUUAAAUUUGACUGGUAAUAUAGAUAAAUAUUUAUUUGUGUAAAUAUAUCACAUAUGCUAAAUAAUUAAUCCAGAGAGAUCAUCAUAUAUAAUUCAUCAGCCUGAAACUUACCAAGUGCCUUUGGCUUUGCCAUAAUUGGGAACAUUUCCUGCAUCAGACAUCUCACAUUAUUAGUGUCAGAUUGCUUGUGAGCAUAUGCACACACUCUGGG